Molecule: ribosomal RNA, 1686 nt
Filed under: Niphargus sp. NB120
Lineage: Eukaryota; Metazoa; Arthropoda; Malacostraca; Amphipoda; Niphargidae
Description: eukaryotic LSU rRNA
Source: RNAcentral
CCGUAGGUGAACCUGCGGAAGGAUCAUUAACGAAUGCUGUACACGCAAAGACAAUGAACGCUUUGUCACAGGCUUCGUGACUCUUGAAAAAAGAAGAAAAAAAAACUCCUGACGGGUUCAGGAAGGAAGACGCCUGUCGGCCAUCGUGGUCGUUGUGCGCUCUCGAGAGCGAGCGCCGCGAACGAUGUAAAACAAACAACCUCUGGCCUCUCAUACAGUACGAUAUCUCUCGCCAUGGUAUACAGGCCUGGCAACUGGUACGAGUCUCGCACGACUCAAAACCAACCUUACAACUCUGAGCGGKGGAUCACUUGGCUUGUGGAUGCUAUGAAGACCAUAGCUAAGUGUGAGAAWGGCAGCGAGCCGUCGCKAUAUGCGCUGUCCUCUUCUUAUCACAUGUCGAAUGCACAUUGCGCCCCACCCAGCGGUCGGCUAACCUCCUGCAGACAAAAGCCUGCUAGUUGGAACAAAGGCAAGUGUGUGGCCCUCGAGCAACGGCGGGGGAGCCAGGAGCACAUGAGCGUGCGGACCAACUGCUCGUUAGUAGUCAGGCUGACCCUAUGGUGGGGCACUCYUAGUCGAGUGUGGUGGAUCGGGCUCACCACACAUCCUCUCGCGCGAUAGUUACGUGCUUUGAACUGUGUGUGUGUGUGAGUUUCUUUGUUGCUGGUGGCAUUUGGGUCGACAUCAGUCGUGCCCGCAAACAACUGCCUUGGCUCGUGCCUCUGUGCGUGAACCACCUACAAGUCCCCGGCGGUGGUGCGCGCACAUUGAAGGCCAUAGCUGGCGAUCACUCUUGCGGCCAGGGCACUAAGACAAUUGCCAACUUUGUUGUGGCAGUAGUGCGCACGGGUCCAAAAGGAUUUUGAAUCAUACGGGAGUCGAGUCUCUGAUACUCUCAGUGGGCCAGCCUGAUACGGCUAAUGCGGAGUGGUGCUUUUUCCGUUGAAGACUCAAAAAACACGCGUGUACACAUACGCUUAUCUCUGGUAGAGGUUCGUGUCUCUCGUAGUAUUCGAGAAAGACAAACGCUUCACCUUUUUCACACUCACCGGGUUGUUGAUGAGUAAACGCCUGACGAGAUCAGGACGGAUUUUUUCUAAGAGUGUGAAAAAAAGAAGCAGAAAGGAUGACACAGCAUGAUGCACCGUACCACUCUGCUCUCGCCGAGCUGGCGCCACAUCGUAGAGAGACUCGCGCUCGUGUGUGACUCUAAGUGCCACCACCUCGACUUAGGAGAGGUUACCCGCUGAACUUAAGCAUAUCAGUAAGCGGAGGAAAAGAAACCAAUCAGGGAUUCCCUUAGUAGGGGCGACCGAACAGGGAUGAGCCCAGCGCAGAACCUCCCGGGCCACCCGGCCUGCGGCGGAAUGUUGCGUUAAGGGAAAGGUCGUAGUCAAACCCCACAGCCACGCGAGCUCUAAGUAAGUCACGAAUUGGCUAUCCCAACUAACGGCGGGAAAAUCUCCACGGAGGGUGUAAGACCCGUGUGGGCGCGUGCAAAUGCUGUGUGGGCUCGGCCUCUUUUCCCUGAGAGUCGCGUUGCUUGAGCAUGCAGCGCUAAGCAGGUCGUAAACUCGAUCUAAGGCUAAAUAUGUCCACAAGACCGAUAGCGAACAAGUACCGUGAGGGAAAGUUGAAAAGCACUCUGAAGAGAGAGUCAAAAGACCGUGAAACCGCUCAGAG